ACGGAAGGCAGCAGUGGGGAAUAUUGCACAAUGGGCGCAAGCCUGAUGCAGCGAUGCCGCGUGAGGGAAGAAGGUUUUCGGAUUGUAAACCUCUGUCAACAGGGACGAUAAGGACUGUACCUGUGAAGGAAGCUCCGGCUAACUACGUGCCAGCAGCCGCGGUAAUACGUAGGGAGCAAGCGUUAUCCAGAAUUACUGGGUGUAAAGGGAGUGUAGGCGGGACUGUAAGUCAGAUGUGAAAUAUGCCGGCUCAACUGGCAGACUGCAUUUGAAACUGCGGUUCUUGAGUGAAGUAGAGGUAAGCGGAAUUCCUAGUGUAGCGGUGAAAUGCGUAGAUAUUAGGAGGAACAUCAGUGGCGAAGGCGGCUUACUGGGCUUUAACUGACGCUGCGGCUCGAAAGCGUGGGGAGCAAACAGGAUUAGAUACCCUGGUA
This 434-nucleotide ribosomal RNA is filed under the name uncultured Ruminococcus sp. RNAcentral's name for it is "partial 16S ribosomal RNA". It matches the Rfam family "Bacterial small subunit ribosomal RNA", at positions 341 to 792 of the family's 1533-position model. The record is from RNAcentral. Lineage: Bacteria; Bacillati; Bacillota; Clostridia; Eubacteriales; Oscillospiraceae.